RNAcentral lists this ribosomal RNA (492 nucleotides) under uncultured bacterium. RNAcentral describes it as "partial 16S ribosomal RNA". It matches the Rfam family "Bacterial small subunit ribosomal RNA", at positions 29 to 507 of the family's 1533-position model. The record is from RNAcentral.
AGUGAACGCUGGCGGUAGGCCUAACACAUGCAAGUCGAACGGCAGCACAGUAAGAGCUUGCUCUUACGGGUGGCGAGUGGCGGACGGGGGAGGAAUACAUCGGAAUCUACUUUUUCGUGGGGGAUAACGUAGGGAAACUUACGCUAAUACCGCAUACGACCUACGGGUGAAAGCAGGGGAUCUUCGGACCUUGCGCGAAUGAAUGAGCCGAUGUCGGAGUAGCUAGUUGGCGGGGUAAAGGCCCACCAAGGCGACGAUCCGUAGCUGGUCUGAGAGGAUGAUCAGCCACACUGGAACUGAGACUCAGUCCAGACUCCUACGCGAGGCAGCAGUGGGGAAUAUUAGACAAUGGGCGCAAGCCUGAUCCAGCCAUACCGCGUGGGUGAAGAAGGCCUUCGGGUUGUUAAGCCCUUUUGUUGUGAGAGAAAAGCAGCAGUUUAAUACCCCGCUGUUCUGACGGUACCCGAAGAAUAAGCACCGGCUAACUUCGUG